RNAcentral lists this ribosomal RNA (253 nucleotides) under uncultured bacterium. RNAcentral's name for it is "partial 16S ribosomal RNA". It matches the Rfam family "Bacterial small subunit ribosomal RNA", at positions 524 to 776 of the family's 1533-position model. The record is from RNAcentral.
UACGGAGGGGGCGAGCGUUAUUCGGAAUUAUUGGGCGUAAAGGGCGCGUAGGCGGCUUGAUGUGUCAAAGGUGAAAUCCCUCGGCUCAACUGAGGAACUGCCUUUGAAACUGUCUGGCUUGAGGCCGGGAGAGGGUAGCGGAAUUCCCAGUGUAGCGGUGAAAUGCGUAGAUACUGGGAGGAACACCGGUGGCGAAGGCGGCUCACUGGACCAUAACUGACGCUGAGACACGAAAGCGUGGGUAGCAAACAGG